AAAUUACAAAAGCAGAUGAGCAAUGAAACCGAAUCCAAGCCACAAAUAACUGUCGCCAUUUUCAUACCAACAACUUCCGCUCUCUCUCUCUCUCUCUCUCACCUACCUUCCAAUCCAUGACCAGAACUUCUCACACUCAGAAACGGCAAUGUCUCAUCCUCUUCAAUUUCCACUCUACACUUCGUCUCCAGGGCCUGAUUAUCUCCUCCUCUCUCCCUCUCCAUUCCAAUCUCCUUCUCCAAUUUUCAUCUACAAGACGAAGAUUCCACUGUUCCCAAUCGCGUUUAAGGUAUCUUCGAGAGUUAGGUGCUUGACCAAGCCGUCUACUCAAGAAGAUCGCUGGAAUGAACCGGAGACUUUGGUACCUGAUGACGGUGAUGGUGUAGAAGCAUUGAGAGAGAACGCGAAAGUCCAACACCACCAGCGAGAUAGAAUUGCCACUUCGAAUGGUGAUUCUCUCUCGCUUGGGAUUCGCGAGCCGGUUUAUGAGGUUGUAGAAGUGAAGUCAAAUGGGAUGCUAUCUACAAGGAAAAUAAACAGACGCCAAUUAUUGAAGUCAAGUGGUCUUCGCCCACGAGAUAUCCGGAGUGUUGAUCCAUCAUUGUUUUUGACAAAUUCAAUGCCCUCUUUACUGGUUCGUGAGCAUGCUAUAUUGCUAAAUCUGGGCUCAUUGCGAGCAAUAGCAAUGCAAGAGCGCAUCCUUAUAUUUGACUACAACCGUAAAGGAGGGAAAGCUUUUAUAGACACGUUAUUACCUCGAUUAAAUCCCAGAAAUAUCAACGGAGGGCCCUGCAUGCCAUUUGAGCUUGAGGUCGUUGAGGCAGCAUUGCUUUCAAGAGUACAGCGAUUGGAGCAGAGACUAAUGACUAUUGAACCUCGUGUUCAAGCUCUUCUUGAAGUUUUACACAACAGGUUAACUGCUGACAUUUUAGAGGAACUCCGUAUUAGCAAGCAAGCAUUGGUUGAAUUAGGUUCAAGGGCAGGAGCUCUUAGACAUAUGUUGCUUGAUCUUUUGGAGGAUCCACAUGAAAUACGCCGUAUAUGUAUAAUGGGAAGAAAUUGCACUCUUGUAAAGGGAAAUGAUAAUGUGGAAUGCUCUGUUCCCCUAGAAAAGCAGAUUGCUGAGGAGGAAGAGGAAGAAAUUGAGAUGCUUUUGGAAAAUUAUCUUCAAAGAUGUGAAUCUUGUCAUGGUCAGGCAGAACGACUUCUUGAUUCUGCAAAAGAAAUGGAAGAUUCAAUUGCUGUCCAUUUAAGCUCUCGGAGGCUUGAAGUGAGCAGAGUGGAAUUACUUCUUCAGGUUGGGACAUUUUGUGUGGCAGUUGGUGCUCUAGUUGCAGGUAUAUUUGGCAUGAACUUGAAGUCCUAUCUUGAAGAGCACGUGUUUGCCUUUUGGCUGACAACAGCUGGGAUAAUUGUCGGUGCUGUUGCGGCAUUUUUUUUAGUUUAUUGGUAUCUCAGGGCUAGGAAAGUACUGUAAUUUAACAACAAUUUGAGUUAGCUCAUUAGUGAAGAUUAUCAAUUAUUGGAGGUGAUUUCAAAGGUUAAGCAUACGUGGCCAAUUAAUUUUGGUUGAUCACUUACAAGGGCCACUUAAUGGUGUUUGAAAUAUAUAGUCCAAUUUUUAUUGGGAGUCAUGUUUCACCUACAAAAUCUGCAAGAGUGGAGCUUCAAUGCUUUCAUAUGUGCUUGAGAAAACGAUUGAGGUUCCAUGUUUUCUUGAAGGAAAUUGUUUGGUCAUUGUGGCAGUGGAACAAAACUUGCUAUUCAAGAGUAUGUUAGCAUUUUGCAACUUCAUCAUUUCUUAGCUCAAACAGAGACAUCUUAGAGAAGUUGGCCAUCUCUCUCUCUCUCUCUCUCUCUCUCUCUUGGAUGUAAUUGCACUAAGUUUAGGUCAGUAGAAGCAGAAUCAAUUGAGUCGUGAAAUUUUAACUUUAAAUUAAAUUAGUCUAAAUAUUAAAAAAGGUAAUCGGACAUUUAAUUAUGAGUCCUGAUUAAUGACUAAUCUAUUAUUAAUUUGAAGGAGGACUUCGUUUUUGCUUUGA
Molecule: RNA transcript, 2042 nt
Organism: Hevea brasiliensis (rubber tree)
Lineage: Eukaryota; Viridiplantae; Streptophyta; Magnoliopsida; Malpighiales; Euphorbiaceae
Gene name: magnesium transporter MRS2-11, chloroplastic
Exons: 15
Source: RefSeq, a predicted model, not a curated record